This 378-nucleotide ribosomal RNA is filed under the name uncultured Gemmatimonadota bacterium. Its description in RNAcentral is "bacterial SSU rRNA". It matches the Rfam family "Bacterial small subunit ribosomal RNA", at positions 521 to 896 of the family's 1533-position model. The record is from RNAcentral. Lineage: Bacteria; Pseudomonadati; Gemmatimonadota.
UAAGACGGAGGGCGCAAGCGUUGUUCGGAAUUACUGGGCGUAAAGGGCGGGCAGGCGGUCCGUUAAGUCUCCUGUGAAAAUCCGGGGCUCAACCCCGUGAAAUGCAGGAGAUACUGGCAGACUAGAGACCGGUAGAGGCUAGCGGAAUUCCUGGUGUAGCGGUGGAAUGCGUAGAUAUCAGGAAGAACACCUGUGGCGAAGGCGGCUAGCUGGGCCGGAUCUGACGCUCAUCCGCGAAAGCGUGGGGAGCAAACAGGAUUAGAUACCCUGGUAGUCCACGCCGUAAACGAUGGGCACUAGGUACCGGGUCUAUAGACGGAUUCGGUGCCGCAGCUAACGCAUUAAGUGCCCCGCCUGGGGAGUACGGUCGCAAGGCUG